This 492-nucleotide ribosomal RNA is filed under the name uncultured bacterium. Its description in RNAcentral is "partial 16S ribosomal RNA". It matches the Rfam family "Bacterial small subunit ribosomal RNA", at positions 29 to 507 of the family's 1533-position model. The record is from RNAcentral.
AGUGAACGCUGGCGGUAGGCCUAACAAAUGCAAGUCGAACGGCGGCACAGUAAGAGCUUGCUCUUACGGGUGGCGAGUGGCGGACGGGUGAGGAAUACAUCGGAAUCUACUUUUUCGUGGGGGAUAACGUAGGGAAACUUACGCUAAUACCGCAUACGACCUACGGGUGAAAGCAGGGGAUCUUCGGACCUUGCGCGAUUGAAUGAGCCGAUGUCGGAUUAGCUAGUUGGCGGGGUAAAGGCCCACCAAGGCGACGAUCCGUAGCUGGUCUGAGAGGAUGACCAGGCACCCUGGCCCUCCCCCACCUCCCCCACCCCUACGGGAGGCACCCGUCGCGAAUAUGUGCCCAUGGGCUCAAUCCUGAUCCAGGCAUACCGGUUCGGCGACGAAGCUGUUCGGGUUGGUAAGCCGUUUUGGUGGGAAAGAACUGGAGCUGGUUAUAGCCCCGCUUUUCUGACGGUCCCCAAUGAAUAAGCCCCGGCUAACUUCGUG